This 465-nucleotide ribosomal RNA is filed under the name Vreelandella stevensii. RNAcentral describes it as "partial 16S ribosomal RNA". It matches the Rfam family "Bacterial small subunit ribosomal RNA", at positions 338 to 795 of the family's 1533-position model. Lineage: Bacteria; Pseudomonadati; Pseudomonadota; Gammaproteobacteria; Oceanospirillales; Halomonadaceae. The record is from RNAcentral.
CCUACGGGUGGCUGCAGUGGGGAAUAUUGGACAAUGGGCGAAAGCCUGAUCCAGCCAUGCCGCGUGUGUGAAGAAGGCCUUCGGGUUGUAAAGCACUUUCAGUGGGGAAGAAAGCCUUGGGGCUAAUACCCUCGAGGAAGGACAGCACCCACAGAAUAAGCACCGGCUAACUCCGUGCCAGCAGCCGCGGUAAUACGGAGGGUGCGAGCGUUAAUCGGAAUUACUGGGCGUAAAGCGCGCGUAGGCGGUCUGAUAAGCCGGUUGUGAAAGCCCCGGGCUCAACCUGGGAACGGCAUCCGGAACUGUCAGGCUAGAGUGCAGGAGAGGAAGGUAGAAUUCCCGGUGUAGCGGUGAAAUGCGUAGAGAUCGGGAGGAAUACCAGUGGCGAAGGCGGCCUUCUGGACUGACACUGACGCUGAGGUGCGAAAGCGUGGGUAGCAAACAGGAUUAGAUACCCUAGUAGUC